This is a long non-coding RNA of Arabidopsis thaliana (thale cress), 384 nucleotides long. RefSeq annotates it as other RNA. Lineage: Eukaryota; Viridiplantae; Streptophyta; Magnoliopsida; Brassicales; Brassicaceae. The record is from RefSeq. The transcript has a single exon.
GGAAAGUUAAAAGGAAACAACAUUAACGAAAUUUGAAAUUUUGCUUAUUCGCUCCAGUACUUCUCAUCAUCAACAUCUUUAUCAUGUUCCGACGAAUCCUCACUGUCCGAUUCAUUGACCAAACCCAUCUUGAAUCUCCUCACAUCUUCAACAGCAGCAUUCCUAAACAAUCCAACAUCAACAGCUCCGGCGACCAUAUGGUAACCACGUCCCCGAAUCUCACCAGCUCCGUCGUGCGGCAUCGCGAAACCCGACAAGUAAGCCCCGCCUUUCGCCGGAUCAGUGGUCAGCACAGAUUUCUCAGCCUUCUUCAUCAUCUCUCUCACUUUCUUAUGUCCAGGAUCCCACAAAUACCCUAAACUCGCACUAAGAUCCAACGGUCCC